GGGUUGUGAGGUUAAGCGACUAAGCGUACACGGUGGAUGCCCUGGCAGUCAGAGGCGAUGAAGGACGUGCUAAUCUGCGAUAAGCGUCGGUAAGGUGAUAUGAACCGUUAUAACCGGCGAUUUCCGAAUGGGGAAACCCAGUGUGAUUCGUCACACUAUCAUUAACUGAAUCCAUAGGUUAAUGAGGCGAACCGGGGGAACUGAAACAUCUAAGUACCCCGAGGAAAAGAAAUCAACCGAGAUUCCCCCAGUAGCGGCGAGCGAACGGGGAGGAGCCCAGAGCCUGAAUCAGUGUGUGUGUUAGUGGAAGCGUCUGGAAAGGCGCGCGAUACAGGGUGACAGCCCCGUACACAAAAAUGCACAUACUGUGAGCUCGAUGAGUAGGGCGGGACACGUGGUAUCCUGUCUGAAUAUGGGGGGACCAUCCUCCAAGGCUAAAUACUCCUGACUGACCGAUAGUGAACCAGUACCGUGAGGGAAAGGCGAAAAGAACCCCGGCGAGGGGAGUGAAAAAGAACCUGAAACCGUGUACGUACAAGCAGUGGGAGCCUCUUUAUGGGGUGACUGCGUACCUUUUGUAUAAUGGGUCAGCGACUUAUAUUCUGUAGCAAGGUUAACCGAAUAGGGGAGCCGAAGGGAAACCGAGUCUUAACUGGGCGUUAAGUUGCAGGGUAUAGACCCGAAACCCGGUGAUCUAGCCAUGGGCAGGUUGAAGGUUGGGUAACACUAACUGGAGGACCGAACCGACUAAUGUUGAAAAAUUAGCGGAUGACUUGUGGCUGGGGGUGAAAGGCCAAUCAAACCGGGAGAUAGCUGGUUCUCCCCGAAAGCUAUUUAGGUAGCGCCUCGUGAAUUCAUCUCCGGGGGUAGAGCACUGUUUCGGCAAGGGGGUCAUCCCGACUUACCAACCCGAUGCAAACUGCGAAUACCGGAGAAUGUUAUCACGGGAGACACACGGCGGGUGCUAACGUCCGUCGUGAAGAGGGAAACAACCCAGACCGCCAGCUAAGGUCCCAAAGUCAUGGUUAAGUGGGAAACGAUGUGGGAAGGCCCAGACAGCCAGGAUGUUGGCUUAGAAGCAGCCAUCAUUUAAAGAAAGCGUAAUAGCUCACUGGUCGAGUCGGCCUGCGCGGAAGAUGUAACGGGGCUAAACCAUGCACCGAAGCUGCGGCAGCGACACUAUGUGUUGUUGGGUAGGGGAGCGUUCUGUAAGCCUGUGAAGGUGUACUGUGAGGUAUGCUGGAGGUAUCAGAAGUGCGAAUGCUGACAUAAGUAACGAUAAAGCGGGUGAAAAGCCCGCUCGCCGGAAGACCAAGGGUUCCUGUCCAACGUUAAUCGGGGCAGGGUGAGUCGACCCCUAAGGCGAGGCCGAAAGGCGUAGUCGAUGGGAAACAGGUUAAUAUUCCUGUACUUGGUGUUACUGCGAAGGGGGGACGGAGAAGGCUAUGUUGGCCGGGCGACGGUUGUCCCGGUUUAAGCGUGUAGGCUGGUUUUCCAGGCAAAUCCGGAAAAUCAAGGCUGAGGCGUGAUGACGAGGCACUACGGUGCUGAAGCAACAAAUGCCCUGCUUCCAGGAAAAGCCUCUAAGCAUCAGGUAACAUCAAAUCGUACCCCAAACCGACACAGGUGGUCAGGUAGAGAAUACCAAGGCGCUUGAGAGAACUCGGGUGAAGGAACUAGGCAAAAUGGUGCCGUAACUUCGGGAGAAGGCACGCUGAUAUGUAGGUGAAGCGACUUGCUCGUGGAGCUGAAAUCAGUCGAAGAUACCAGCUGGCUGCAACUGUUUAUUAAAAACACAGCACUGUGCAAACACGAAAGUGGACGUAUACGGUGUGACGCCUGCCCGGUGCCGGAAGGUUAAUUGAUGGGGUUAGCGGUAACGCGAAGCUCUUGAUCGAAGCCCCGGUAAACGGCGGCCGUAACUAUAACGGUCCUAAGGUAGCGAAAUUCCUUGUCGGGUAAGUUCCGACCUGCACGAAUGGCGUAAUGAUGGCCAGGCUGUCUCCACCCGAGACUCAGUGAAAUUGAACUCGCUGUGAAGAUGCAGUGUACCCGCGGCAAGACGGAAAGACCCCGUGAACCUUUACUAUAGCUUGACACUGAACAUUGAGCCUUGAUGUGUAGGAUAGGUGGGAGGCUUUGAAGUGUGGACGCCAGUCUGCAUGGAGCCGACCUUGAAAUACCACCCUUUAAUGUUUGAUGUUCUAACGUUGGCCCGUGAUCCGGGUUGCGGACAGUGUCUGGUGGGUAGUUUGACUGGGGCGGUCUCCUCCUAAAGAGUAACGGAGGAGCACGAAGGUUGGCUAAUCCUGGUCGGACAUCAGGAGGUUAGUGCAAUGGCAUAAGCCAGCUUGACUGCGAGCGUGACGGCGCGAGCAGGUGCGAAAGCAGGUCAUAGUGAUCCGGUGGUUCUGAAUGGAAGGGCCAUCGCUCAACGGAUAAAAGGUACUCCGGGGAUAACAGGCUGAUACCGCCCAAGAGUUCAUAUCGACGGCGGUGUUUGGCACCUCGAUGUCGGCUCAUCACAUCCUGGGGCUGAAGUAGGUCCCAAGGGUAUGGCUGUUCGCCAUUUAAAGUGGUACGCGAGCUGGGUUUAGAACGUCGUGAGACAGUUCGGUCCCUAUCUGCCGUGGGCGCUGGAGAACUGAGGGGGGCUGCUCCUAGUACGAGAGGACCGGAGUGGACGCAUCACUGGUGUUCGGGUUGUCAUGCCAAUGGCACUGCCCGGUAGCUAAAUGCGGAAGAGAUAAGUGCUGAAAGCAUCUAAGCACGAAACUUGCCCCGAGAUGAGUUCUCCCUGACUCCCUGAGAGUCCUGAAGGAACGUUGAAGACGACGACGUUGAUAGGCCGGGUGUGUAAGCGCAGCGAUGCGUUGAGCUAACCGGUACUAAUGAACCGUGAGGCUUAACCUUACAACGCCGAAG
This 2925-nucleotide ribosomal RNA is filed under the name Escherichia coli. Its description in RNAcentral is "23S ribosomal RNA". It matches the Rfam family "Bacterial large subunit ribosomal RNA". The record is from RNAcentral. Lineage: Bacteria; Pseudomonadati; Pseudomonadota; Gammaproteobacteria; Enterobacterales; Enterobacteriaceae.